UCCUGACUGCUUCAACUAAUC
RNAcentral lists this non-coding RNA (21 nucleotides) under Caenorhabditis elegans. Lineage: Eukaryota; Metazoa; Nematoda; Chromadorea; Rhabditida; Rhabditidae. The record is from RNAcentral.